Molecule: long non-coding RNA, 553 nt
Organism: Pollicipes pollicipes
Lineage: Eukaryota; Metazoa; Arthropoda; Thecostraca; Pollicipedomorpha; Pollicipedidae
Exons: 2
Source: RefSeq, a predicted model, not a curated record
CAGUGACAGCUCGGCGAAGAAGCACACCCAACGACCUCGCAACAUGAAGCUUACGAUCCUGCUCUGCCUGGUGGCGUUGGCCGCCGCAGAUGGAGGCUGGCAAGGAAAGCAUAAUGCAGCCUACGGAGGUCUGUUCGGUCUUUCCAGAAGAUACAACAACUACGGUCCUUAUCGCGGAAGCUUUGGCUAUUCAAACUCGUACUCCGGUGUCAGAAGCCGGUGCCCGUACGGUGGUCCCCGCAUUGGUGGUUACAACUAUUGCCCCUGCGGUGGUUACAAAGCUGUGGGAGCCUAUUACAGCCUCAGGAGUGCCAUCGGACGCUGCCCUCGCAAACAUCACUGAUGAUAUGCCUACCUACUUACGGACAUAACGUCUACCCAGUUCGCUUAUUCGGAUUCGACAACGGCAUGAACAUUUCCAGAACUGUCACUGAGUUAUCUAUAUCAAUACCAAAACCCUGCCUGAUCAGCAGUGGUGUCAAGCGACAUGAAUAUUCCUGUUGUCCAUGUAUUGUACGACUGCUUCAAAUAAACGCAACAGGUGAUCUGCAUA